GUGGAUUUUGUUUUGUUCUGUGCUGCUACGAACCGUGGUCACUGCAGUGUUUGGCAGGGGUCGUGGGUUUAAAAUCUGCAGUUCCCGACAACGUGAUGUGCGGCGUGUAGCACGCGUUCAAAACUGUCCGCAACGCAUACCAUUCUCCGUGAAAAGGAGCGGGUGGCAGUGCAGCGAGGGCAAGAUGGCAGGAUACCAUGGUUUUAGGAAAAGUUCCGUCUAUGCUGUUGGGUGUACUCUCGCCUGCGAGGGGUUUCAGUAGAAACAUUGCGGUUAAAUCUGUGAAGGUGUAGUUUUCUGAAAAGGUCAAGCUGCUGCAUGGUAGAUUCAUCCUGAGGAAGUUCAGCUUUUAUUAGUUUUAGAUAAACAUACUACAAUGAGCUUAUGAAAUGAUGCCUCUGGAGGGCUUGCAGUGCAUGCAGAAGAGCAGCGAAAGUCUUCACUUGGUACAACAAAUCUUUGAAACGACAUGCAGUCACCAGACGCCCAUUGCUGGAAUGUGAUAGUGUCCAAGAACUCUGACAUUCGCUGCAGCUUUUCAUUCAACUUGUUCUGGACAGCUGGCAGCCCCGGGCAGUCAGUACAUUGAGCGAGCGGCUCAGCCCGUCACCGGAUGCAGUCUACCUAGCUGUAAUAAGCCACUCGUAUCUUUACUGCGUCUAUUUAUUGCCACCACAUACUGAAAUUGACCUCUGAGAACUCCGGAGGAAACCUCAACCAUGAUGUAGAGAGAUGUAAUAUUUUUUUUAAGGAGCAAUGGAGGUGACAUUUAACAUCGCUCAAAAUCCUGCCUCGUCUGUCAAGCUGUCCACCAGGAGUCACCAUGCAAAAUAUUUUCGCUCUGUGGUGCAUUAUAGCUGUGCAAUCCAGUUUACAACAAACUGUUCCAGAAAGCAGCUGCUGCCGGGUUGCCGGCACAAUCUUCGCGUAUUGGGGGAGAAUGCCCUGAGCCUUUUUUCCUUCGUUCUCUCUUCUCAAAUCACGUGCCACUUAUACGAGCUUGAGCUGUGCCGCUGUACGUCACUGGUCACGUGAGGGGAGUAGCAUAGGCCAUGAUGUCCUCUCAUUCUGCGAUGCGCUCUUUUCACAAGGAGGAUUUUUCAAAGGAUUUGCCGCAGCAGAAAAAGAAGGGCCUAACCAUCAGCAUGGGAGUGCACGUUCUGCUGCAGCGUAGUGUCAUGUUGCCAGUCCUAACAGCCAAUACGGAAGCAGAAUGCUGUGAAGCGUUAUGGAUCCUAGUGCCAGGAGUCCAGGUUUGAAAAUUUUGUGUCAUCAUCACUGCAUGUACUGUAUAGCAACCACAGAAGAGUACAGUUCUGCCAUCAAUUUUAGACGUCUCUAAAAACCUUUAUGAAGCUGUCGGGUCACUGUUCUGUCAAAAGAAGGAUAUCAGGCAUGUCUAGACGAUGUAGUGUGGUGAACUGCGCGCAAAUAUUCUUUACAGCCCUUGUUUUAACCCUUUAAAUUUUGUGAUACAGAGCAACAGAGGGUAGUUGUAUAGGGCAUAGGGUAUGUGUGCACAGGCACUAUGAGAUGGUGUGCCAAACUUUUGCAUAUUUCAUACUGUGGUCUGCAUGCUGCUAAUGUCAACGUCUCAUCUUAAAAGUCUUCAUCAGGUGUUGUAUGUAUUGAUACUUCCUCAGAGAUGUUUGUAAACACAUUAUCAGUACUGCAAUCGCAGAGUGCUAGAAAGGCACUACAGAAACACACACACAAACAAAUACACACAAAUAUACAAUGCACGUUCCUCCUCAUGCAAUGUGUCCUGUACAGGACACCUUUGAGAAAAAUAAAUUAAAUGAAAUAUGCGACACAAAAAAUGACGCAAACAUCCACCAGGACAAAUCUCUUGAGGUUUUUCUGAUCUAUCCCAAAUGAUGUAUUUGGAUUAAAUUUACAUUUGCAUAAUAUAUAGGGCAUUAUGGAAUUUUUAGUAAAGUGUAGAUGUUAUUGUAGUGGAGUUGUAUACGUUCUGUGAGCUGUGUAGGGCAUAAUCAAGGUCUUUUAUUGGCCCUCAUUGUGGCUCUGAGUAACAAACAACACGCCAUAUUAUCAGAAGAUAUUCUGAAAUGCAUCAAAUCACAGAACGUAGGAACUCUGACAUCUUAAGUAACACUUUCUGGAUAGCCCUGCAUACCAGCUACGCAUCGAUCAGAAGGUCGACAUUAAGAGCAUGUAUACAUGGCGAAAUUUUGUUCGGGGAUUUCAUUCAUGCGCGUACAUCAGCAAAAUGAACUGAUGGCAACCGUACAUCUCACCCAAGGGUGACAUGACCAACUCCAUCUGUGGUCUUCAUUUUCAAUGGACCUUUUUCACAACGGCUUAUGCGCAUGCACAUGACCUUGAGGCGCCGUAGAGGGUUAUCUCAGUCUUCAUUAGAUGGCACAGUAUACGGAUGACAGAAGUGGGGACCAGUGGGGAGAAAGGCGCGAGCUCGUCUGUCCCACUCUGAGCUGGUUUCGGUCCUUUGUGCUACCCACAUGGAUUGGUUUUGACAUGCUCCGUGCGUGGUUCGCUGGAGAGCCACU
This is a long non-coding RNA of Ornithodoros turicata, 2528 nucleotides long. RefSeq lists it as uncharacterized. NCBI's taxonomy places the organism in Eukaryota, Metazoa, Arthropoda, Arachnida, Ixodida, Argasidae. The transcript is spliced from 3 exons. The record is from RefSeq and is a predicted model, not a curated record.